Molecule: ribosomal RNA, 253 nt
Filed under: uncultured bacterium
Lineage: Bacteria
Description: partial 16S ribosomal RNA
Rfam family: Bacterial small subunit ribosomal RNA
Source: RNAcentral
UACGGAGGGUGCAAACGUUGCUCGGAAUCAUUGGGCGUAAAGCGCACGUAGGUGGCCUGUUAAGUCGGGUGUGAAAUCCCUGGGCUCAACCCAGGAAGUGCACUCGAAACUGGCGGGCUUGAGUACUGAAGAGGGUCGCGGAAUUCCCGGUGUAGAGGUGAAAUUCGUAGAUAUCGGGAGGAACACCAGUGGCGAAGGCGGCUUUCUGGACGAUAACUGACGCUGAGACGCGAAAGCGUGGGGAGCAAACAGG